UACGUAGGGGGCUAGCGUUGUCCGGAAUCAUUGGGCGUAAAGCGCGUGUAGGCGGUCCGGCAAGUCUGCUGUGAAAGUCGGGGGCUCAACCCUCGGAUGCCGGUGGAUACUGUCGGGCUUGAGUACGGAAGAGGCGAGUGGAAUUCCUGGUGUAGCGGUGAAAUGCGCAGAUAUCAGGAGGAACACCGAUUGCGAAGGCAGCUCGCUGGGACGUUACUGACGCUGAGACGCGAAAGCGUGGGGAGCAAACAGG
RNAcentral lists this ribosomal RNA (253 nucleotides) under uncultured bacterium. RNAcentral's name for it is "partial 16S ribosomal RNA". It matches the Rfam family "Bacterial small subunit ribosomal RNA", at positions 524 to 776 of the family's 1533-position model. The record is from RNAcentral.